This 303-nucleotide ribosomal RNA is filed under the name uncultured bacterium. Its description in RNAcentral is "partial 16S ribosomal RNA". It matches the Rfam family "Bacterial small subunit ribosomal RNA", at positions 507 to 807 of the family's 1533-position model. The record is from RNAcentral.
AGCAGUCGCCGCGGUAAUACGGAGGGUGCAAGCGUUAAUCGGAAUUACUGGGCGUAAAGCGCACGCAGGCGGUCUGUCAAGUCAGAUGUGAAAUCCCCGGGCUUAACCUGGGAACUGCAUUUGAAACUGGCAGGCUAGAGUCUUGUAGAGGGGGGUAGAAUUCCAGGUGUAGCGGUGAAAUGCGUAGAGAUCUGGAGGAAUACCGGUGGCGAAGGCGGCCCCCUGGACAAAGACUGACGCUCAGGUGCGAAAGCGUGGGGAGCAAACAGGAUUAGAUACCCGGGUAGUCCCUGUCUCUUAUAC